Molecule: ribosomal RNA, 521 nt
Filed under: uncultured bacterium
Lineage: Bacteria
Description: bacterial SSU rRNA
Rfam family: Bacterial small subunit ribosomal RNA
Source: RNAcentral
CGAACGACAAAGAUGCAAUAGGCAAGAGAGACAGAAAUUAAACAAGGUCAAUCAAAAGUACAUUUGAUUGAUAGAAUACAAGACAGUAUAAAACUUUGUGAAUAAAAUUGAGUGCGGGAUAGUCGGCGGACGGGUGAGUAACGCGUGAAUAAUCUGCCCCAUACAGGGGGAUAGCCUCGGGAAACCGGGAUUAAAACCGCAUAACACUUUAUCACCGCAUGGUGAUGAAGUCAAAUCGAUUAAGAGGUAUGGGAUGAGUUCGCGUCUGAUUAGCUAGUUGGCGGGGUAAAGGCCCACCAAGGCGACGAUCAGUAGCCGGCCUGAGAGGGUGACCGGCCACACUGGAACUGAGACACGGUCCAGACUCCUACGGGAGGCAGCAGUGGGGAAUAUUGCACAAUGGGGGAAACCCUGAUGCAGCGACGCCGCGUGAGUGAAGAAGGUCUUCGGAUCGUAAAACUCUGUCCUUGGUGACGAAGGAAGUGACGGUAACCAAGGAGGAAGCCCCGGCUAACUACGUG